AGCAGGGGAGUUGAAACUAGAUGAUCAUUGUGGUCCUUUUCAACCCAGGCCAUUCUAUGACUCCUGGAAACCACUUAGGAAAGACUGGAGCAUUCUGGGAACUAUAGUUCCUGCAGUUUUUCUGCAGUUCUCCUUUAGCAGCUGUCUCAUUUCCAUCAGUUCUAUGCAUGAUGUCAUGAUACGGAAUACAUAUAGAAAACCAUGACAACAUACCUGUACAGUGUACAGUUAUCUGUUCACUUAUCUGUACACUGUACCAGUUACUCUGUACACUUCUGUAUCUGUUAGGAUUUUCCUCUGAAUAUUCAAUCACUCCAGGACAAAGCCCUAGAAAAUAGAUGCCAAGAAACAGCAAGGCUAGACAGCAUGAUUUGUGGUAACUAAGGCACUAGGCCACUCUGUGUAAAGAGCCAGCACCAUUCAGAAGAGCUAAGCAAUCAAGCUCUGAUAUCUGCCGGUAUAGCAAUUGAGGACCAUCAGAGAGGGAACCUAAGUACAGCCAACUUGUGAUGGUGUUUUCUGACCCCUUCCCUUGGGUAACUACUUAACAUUGUCCCUUCAAAAAGGAACAAACUAGGAGGAGAAAAGAAUGGGGGAGAGAAAGCAGUAGUCCUGCUGAUAGUUCGGUGUUUGUAUGUGCAUCCAUUUGAGGGUGAGCACUCCUUUCUGUAUCACUUCGUGAAACAUAACAGCUGGUUCAUGCUCUGUCAGAAGUAUUAAUGGAAAAUCAAUGAUUGCCAAAAGGAGUAGGAAAAAAAACCACUAAAGCAGCAACAAAAUGGUCUUGAAGUUGAAAUGUUCAAAUAAUAGAGAAUAAGCUAAAUUGCAAAGAGUGUUUGAGAGUUUGAAUGCCUUUUUUAAACACCAAAGACUCAGAGGCAAAGAUUACUGCAGUUAAAGCUCUGAGCUGGGAUGUGGAUAGCUGCAGAAGAAAGACUAUUUUGUAUAAUUGUUAGAAUGAGAAAAGUUAUUGCUCCUUUUCAAACUGUAGACCACUGAUGUCAUUUAUUGAGUGAUAAAAGUGGUCGUUCAGUAUGUUUGUCUCAUUUCUGUGUUAGCCUGAGUUUGUAAAAAUGUCUGUUUUUUAAUUAUAAGAUUUCAGCUCGAAUUUCUUCCUAUCAAGGUUGUCAUAUUUUCUGAAAAGCAAGAUGUUAAAGGUAUGUAUUAUGCUACAUAAUAUAUAUAAUAUACAUUAUGAUUAAUGUAUACCAGAGUUUGUACUGAACAGCUAUUGUCAUUCUGUGAAAAUUACUGAAAGUACUAACUAUAUUUUCUGAACUUAAUCCUUAACUAGUUUUGCUAGCUUUGUGGGAUUAUUCUCUCUUUGCUAAGAUUUAACCAAUAAUCUGCAAAGCACAGUAGUGAAGCAGAUCUUUGAAAAGAUACGUAUAAAUUUUACUUUGCAUUGUAUUGUAGUGUGCUUACCUUUCUUAAAAAUAUGUAUUUUAGAAUAGAUAUGCAUUAAAUAAUGAAAUGUCCUCAGACAUGUUUUCUGAAACAGGAAUAACUGUGCUCUCUUCUAUAUUUACAAAGUAGAAAAUUAUUUUAAAAGAAAGACUUUUCACAUGCAAAACAGUCCCCAAGAUAUAUCAGCUGGUUCUGCUCCUUGCCCUGUAAACUUCUGCUUUAAUUUUCAGGCUGAACUGACCUUGCACAAACUUCGCCAACCUGAGCAAUCUUCUUCCAGAUGGGUGCUUCAUUAUUUAAGUGAUACUGCACUGUUAAGCUCCUUCAGAAAUGGACAUGCCAACCAACGUCUGGUCCUCAGAUCCUCAUCUCCUGACAAAGGAUUCUGAACCUCAAAUAGAACUGCAGAUGGAACUGGACUAUGAGGACCCAUUUCUCUCUACCACAUCAGAAUGCUUGCUAUUUCCCUUCUGUGUCAUGGAGUCACAGUUGUAUGUGCAGAGUUGCCUUUAAACACAGAUGCCGUUGAGAGAGAUGAGUUUAGGAGGAUGCAGAUGAAAAUAGUGCAUGGAAAGAAAUUUUCAAUGAGGUCGCUUUGCUGUUUCUUCAGAUAAGGAGAAGGUUAAGGACAACUAUUCAGGCUUGCUGAGAACAUGGAUCUCUAGUAAAAGGAUGCUUUGGAAGUGAUGGAUUGAGGUGCACACAUAAUGACCUGUUCCAGUCAGAAACUGAGAGCCUCAGAAGGAGUUGCCAACCAGAUCUAUAGAAUGAGAUACCUCUAACUUGGUGUAUCUUCUGGGGAUUCAGAAGGGCCAUCAGCUACCAGCACCCAAAGGAGGAAAGCCAGCCAG
Molecule: non-coding RNA, 2258 nt
Organism: Phasianus colchicus (ring-necked pheasant)
Lineage: Eukaryota; Metazoa; Chordata; Aves; Galliformes; Phasianidae
Source: RefSeq, a predicted model, not a curated record